UCCAGACUCCUACGGGAGGCAGCAGUGGGGGAUAUUGCACAAUGGGGGAAACCCUGAUGCAGCGACGCCGCGUGAGCGAUGAAGUAUUUCGGUAUGUAAAGCUCUAUCAGCAGGGAAGAAGAUGACGGUACCUGACUAAGAAGCCCCGGCUAACUACGUGCCAGCAGCCGCGGUAAUACGUAGGGGGCAAGCGUUAUCCGGAUUUACUGGGUGUAAAGGGAGCGUAGACGGUUAUGUAAGUCUGGAGUGAAAGCCCGGGGCCCAACCCCGGGACUGCUUUGGAAACUGUGUAACUAGAGUACAGGAGGGGCAGGCGGAAUUCCUGGUGUAGCGGUGAAAUGCGUAGAUAUCAGGAGGAACACCGGCGGCGAAGGCGGCCUGCUGGACCGUAACUGACGUUGAGGCUCGAAAGCGUGGGGAGCAAACAGGAUUAGAUACCCCUGUA
RNAcentral lists this ribosomal RNA (445 nucleotides) under uncultured bacterium. Its description in RNAcentral is "bacterial SSU rRNA". It matches the Rfam family "Bacterial small subunit ribosomal RNA", at positions 330 to 792 of the family's 1533-position model. The record is from RNAcentral.